This 497-nucleotide ribosomal RNA is filed under the name uncultured bacterium. RNAcentral describes it as "partial 16S ribosomal RNA". It matches the Rfam family "Bacterial small subunit ribosomal RNA", at positions 28 to 507 of the family's 1533-position model. The record is from RNAcentral.
GAUGAACGCUGGCGGCGUGCCUAAUACAUGCAAGUCGAGCGAACAGAUGAGGAGCUUGCUCCUCUGACGUUAGCGGCGGACGGGUGAGUAACACGUGGAUAACCUACCUAUAAGACUGGGAUAACUUCGGGAAACCGGAGCUAAUACCGGAUAAUAUAUUGAACCGCAUGGUUCAAUAGUGAAAGACGGUUUUGCUGUCACUUAUAGAUGGAUCCGCGCCGCAUUAGCUAGUUGGUAAGGUAACGGCUUACCAAGGCAACGAUGCGUAGCCGACCUGAGAGGGUGAUCGGCCACACUGGAACUGAGACACGGUCCAGACUCCUACGGGAGGCAGCAGUAGGGAAUCUUCCGCAAUGGGCGAAAGCCUGACGGAGCAACGCCGCGUGAGUGAUGAAGGUCUUCGGAUCGUAAAGCUCUGUUAUUAGGGAAGAACAAAUGUAUAAGUAACUAUGCACGUCUUGACGGUACCUAAUCAGAAAGCCACGGCUAACUACGUG